AGUGAACGCUGGCGGUAGGCCUAACACAUGCAAGUCGAACGGCAGCACAGUAAGAGCUUGCUCUUACGGGUGGCGAGUGGCGGACGGGUGAGGAAUACAUCGGAAUCUACUUUUUCGUGGGGGAUAACGUAGGGAAACUUACGCUAAUACCGCAUACGACCUACGGGUGAAAGCAGGGGAUCUUCGGACCUUGCGCGAUUGAAUGAGCCGAUGUCGGAUUAGCUAGUUGGCGGGGUAAAGGCCCACCAAGGCGACGAUCCGUAGCUGGUCUGAGAGGAUGAUCAGCCACACUGGAACUGAGACACGGUCCAGACGCCUACGGGAGGCAGCAGUGGGGAAUAUUGGGCAAUGGGCGCAAGCAUGAUCCAGCCAUACCGCGUGGGUGAAGAAGGCCUUCGGGUUGUAAAGCCCUUUUGUUGGGAAAGAAAAGCAGCAGGUUAAUACCCCGCUGUUCUGACGGUACCCAAAGAAUAAGCACCGGCUAACUUCGUG
This 492-nucleotide ribosomal RNA is filed under the name uncultured bacterium. Its description in RNAcentral is "partial 16S ribosomal RNA". It matches the Rfam family "Bacterial small subunit ribosomal RNA", at positions 29 to 507 of the family's 1533-position model. The record is from RNAcentral.